This 253-nucleotide ribosomal RNA is filed under the name uncultured bacterium. Its description in RNAcentral is "partial 16S ribosomal RNA". It matches the Rfam family "Bacterial small subunit ribosomal RNA", at positions 524 to 776 of the family's 1533-position model. The record is from RNAcentral.
UACGGGGGGGGCAAGCGUUGUUCGGAAUUACUGGGCGUAAAGGGCUCGUAGGCGGCCAACUAAGUCGGAUGUGAAAUCCCCAGGCUUAACUUGGGAACUGCAUCCGAUACUGGAUGGCUUGAAUCCGGGAGAGGGAUGCGGAAUUCCAGGUGUAGCGGUGAAAUGCGUAGAUAUCAGGAAGAACACCCGUGGCGAAAGCGGCUCUCUGGAACGGUACUGACGCUGAGACGCGAAAGCGUGGGGAGCGAACAGG